RNAcentral lists this ribosomal RNA (562 nucleotides) under Rhodotorula mucilaginosa. RNAcentral describes it as "LSU rRNA". It matches the Rfam family "Eukaryotic large subunit ribosomal RNA", at positions 66 to 644 of the family's 3401-position model. Lineage: Eukaryota; Fungi; Basidiomycota; Microbotryomycetes; Sporidiobolales; Sporidiobolaceae. The record is from RNAcentral.
UAACAAGGAUUCCCCUAGUAGCGGCGAGCGAAGCGGGAAGAGCUCAAAUUUAUAAUCUGGCACCUUCGGUGUCCGAGUUGUAAUCUCUAGAAAUGUUUUCCGCGUUGGACCGCACACAAGUCUGUUGGAAUACAGCGGCAUAGUGGUGAGACCCCCGUAUAUGGUGCGGACGCCCAGCGCUUUGUGAUACAUUUUCGAAGAGUCGAGUUGUUUGGGAAUGCAGCUCAAAUUGGGUGGUAAAUUCCAUCUAAAGCUAAAUAUUGGCGAGAGACCGAUAGCGAACAAGUACCGUGAGGGAAAGAUGAAAAGCACUUUGGAAAGAGAGUUAACAGUACGUGAAAUUGUUGGAAGGGAAACGCUUGAAGUCAGACUUGCUUGCCGAGCAAUCGGUUUGCAGGCCAGCAUCAGUUUUCCGGGAUGGAUAAUGGUAGAGAGAAGGUAGCAGUUUCGGCUGUGUUAUAGCUCUCUGCUGGAUACAUCUUGGGGGACUGAGGAACGCAGUGUGCCUUUGGCGGGGGUUUCGACCUCUUCACACUUAGGAUGCUGGUGGAAUGGCUUAAAC